CUGCUUGCUUGGGCAGCACAUAGACUAAAAUUGGAAUAAUACAGAGAAGAUUAGCAUGGCCCCUGUGCAAGGAUGACAUACAAAUUUGUGAAGCGUUCCAUAUUUUU
RNAcentral lists this small nuclear RNA (107 nucleotides) under Ursus maritimus (polar bear). The record is from RNAcentral. Lineage: Eukaryota; Metazoa; Chordata; Mammalia; Carnivora; Ursidae.